CCUACGGGAGUCAGCAGUGAGGAAUAUUGGUCAAUGGUCGGGCGACUGAACCAGCCAAGCCGCGUGAGGGAUGCAGGUACAGAGUAUCGUAAACCUCUUUUGUCAGGGAACAAAGGCGGGGACGUGUCCCCGGAUGAGUGUACCUGAAGAAACAGCAUCGGCUAACUCCGUGCCAGCCGCCGCGGUAAUACGGGGGAUGCGAGAGUUAUCAGGAUUUAUUGGGUUUAAAGGGUGCGCAGGCGGUCUGUUAAGUCAGCGUUCAAAGCCCGGGGCUCAAACCCGGCCCGCCGUUGAAACUGGCAGUCUCGAGUUGGAGAGAAGUAUGCGGAAUGCGCGGUGUAGCGGUGAAAUGCAUAGAUAUCGCGCAGAACUCCGAUUGCGAAGGCAGCAUGCCGGCUCCACACUGACGCUGAGGCACGAAAGCGUGGGUAUCGAACAGGAUUAGAUACCCCUGGAGUC
RNAcentral lists this ribosomal RNA (459 nucleotides) under uncultured bacterium. Its description in RNAcentral is "partial 16S ribosomal RNA". It matches the Rfam family "Bacterial small subunit ribosomal RNA", at positions 338 to 795 of the family's 1533-position model. The record is from RNAcentral.